GACGAAGGGUGCAAACGUUGCUCGGAAUCAUUGGGCGUAAAGCGCACGUAGGCGGCCUCGCAAGUCGGAUGUGAAAUACCUAGGCUCAACCAAGGACGUGCAUCCGAAACUGCAAGGCUUGAGUACAGAAGAGGAUCGCGGAAUUCCCGGUGUAGAGGUGAAAUUCGUAGAUAUCGGGAGGAACACCAGUGGCGAAGGCGGCGAUCUGGGCUGAUACUGACGCUGAGGUGCGAAAGCGUGGGGAGCAAACAGG
RNAcentral lists this ribosomal RNA (253 nucleotides) under uncultured bacterium. RNAcentral describes it as "partial 16S ribosomal RNA". It matches the Rfam family "Bacterial small subunit ribosomal RNA", at positions 524 to 776 of the family's 1533-position model. The record is from RNAcentral.